UUCUUAUUGGUGCAUUUUUUUUCAGAGUUUUCAGCAAAGUUUUGUAGGUUAAGGAUGCUUUUGUCACGCUUGAAAUCUAAAAACAAUGAACAAUGAUUUGGUUUUUUCUUUUAAUCCUAUAUUCCACAGCAAACACUCAAAUUAAUUUUAGAGAAAAUGAGUAAUAUUGAGUCUGAAGUCCUAUGUUUAUUUGAAAACCACAAAGCCACUGCCCUUUUCCAAGGGACACGACCAAACACCAAUGUCCCCUUCCUUUAGGGUCUUUUAAGCGAGCCCGAGGAAACAAUUACAGAGUAGCUCCUCUCCCCGAGGUCUUUAGACUCCAGUAAGCCUUUUCACUGGAAAUUGCUGCAUAUUCUGGCGGUCGGUACAAACACCUAGUCCGCCUCCGAAUUUUCUGGAAUCUGAGACUAGUUCCCCUCUUUGGCAUUCUUCACGUGUUUCAUUUGUCCGUGCCUCUGACACUUACUGAAAAGAAGAAAGGGGGGAACUGCUUCCCUGGGGUUCCCUUUCAAAGGGCCCUGGCCCAGCGGGGAGCAGCUGCAGCUGUCCAGGGCGAGGCCCCACCUGGCCUGGCCAGCCCCCCACACACACACAGCCGCCGCCGCNNNNNNNNNNNNNNNNNNNNCCGCCGCUGCCACCACCACCACCACCACCUCCCCUGCCCCAUGCACCCGGGAAUGGGCCCUGGCACAGUCGGCAGUGCAAACAAGCCAGCUACAGUACAGAGCCUCCAAGACCCCCACAGCCAGGCGAGGAGCCGCUAACCAGUGGCCCUGUGGCCCCCUCUUCCGACCAGGCAACGCGAGGGAUUUCCUCUGUCCAACGCUCCCCCCACAAGUGAGCAGGAGCACCCCUGAGAAAGUGGAAUGGUGCUCCAGAAAGGCCUCAUCUAAUUCCACACACACUUCAAGGUGGGCCAAGUCCAAAUUUCCCUCCAAGGCCAUGGCCAGGCCAGGGUUAGUGCAAGCUGGAGAGGAGCCUGGGGGGGGGGUGUUCUGCUGGAGGACUCUGAACACUGCAAAUUCCCCUCAGAACAAUUCCCACAGUGGAUAA
Molecule: long non-coding RNA, 1056 nt
Filed under: Mustela putorius furo (domestic ferret)
Lineage: Eukaryota; Metazoa; Chordata; Mammalia; Carnivora; Mustelidae
Description: lncRNA (ENSMPUG00000025757.1)
Source: RNAcentral